Molecule: ribosomal RNA, 451 nt
Filed under: uncultured bacterium
Lineage: Bacteria
Description: bacterial SSU rRNA
Rfam family: Bacterial small subunit ribosomal RNA
Source: RNAcentral
GCAGUGGGGAAUUUUGGACAAUGGGCGAAAGCCUGAUCCAGCAAUGCCGCGUGCAGGAUGAAGGCCUUCGGGUUGUAAACUGCUUUUGUACGGAACGAAAAAGCUUCUCCUAAUACGAGAGGCCCAUGACGGUACCGUAAGAAUAAGCACCGGCUAACUACGUGCCAGCAGCCGCGGUAAUACGUAGGGUGCGAGCGUUAAUCGGAAUUACUGGGCGUAAAGCGUGCGCAGGCGGUUAUGUAAGACAGAUGUGAAAUCCCCGGGCUCAACCUGGGAACUGCAUUUGUGACUGCAUGGCUAGAGUACGGUAGAGGGGGAUGGAAUUCCGCGUGUAGCAGUGAAAUGCGUAGAUAUGCGGAGGAACACCGAUGGCGAAGGCAAUCCCCUGGACCUGUACUGACGCUCAUGCACGAAAGCGUGGGGAGCAAACAGGAUUAGAUACCCUGGUAGU